UACGAAGGGGGCUAGCGUUGCUCGGAAUCACUGGGCGUAAAGGGUGCGUAGGCGGGUCUUUAAGUCAGGGGUGAAAUCCUGGAGCUCAACUCCAGAACUGCCUUUGAUACUGAAGAUCUUGAGUUCGGGAGAGGUGAGUGGAACUGCGAGUGUAGAGGUGAAAUUCGUAGAUAUUCGCAAGAACACCAGUGGCGAAGGCGGCUCACUGGCCCGAUACUGACGCUGAGACGCGAAAGCGUGGGGGAGCAAACAGG
This 254-nucleotide ribosomal RNA is filed under the name uncultured bacterium. Its description in RNAcentral is "partial 16S ribosomal RNA". It matches the Rfam family "Bacterial small subunit ribosomal RNA", at positions 524 to 776 of the family's 1533-position model. The record is from RNAcentral.